GACGAACGCUGGCGGCGUGCCUAAUACAUGCAAGUCGAGCGGACGAAUCGAAAGCUUGCUUUUGAUUCGUUAGCGGCGGACGGGUGAGUAACACGUGGGCAACCUGCCCUGUAGACGGGGAUAACACCGAGAAAUCGGUGCUAAUACCGGAUAACACGAAAUGUCGCAUGACGUUUCGUUGAAAGACGGCGCAAGCUGCCGCUACAGGAUGGGCCCGCGGCGCAUUAGCUAGUUGGUGAGGUAACGGCUCACCAAGGCGACGAUACGUAGCCGACCUGAGAGGGUGAUCGGCCACACUGGGGCUGAGACACGGCCCAGACUCCUACGGGAGGCAGCAGUAGGGAAUCUUCCGCAAUGGACGAAAGUCUGACGGAGCAACGCCGCGUGAGCGAAGAAGGCCUUCGGGUCGUAAAGCUCUGUUGUUAGGGAAGAACAAGUAACGCAGUAACUGGCGUUACCGUGACGGUACCUAACGAGAAAGCCACGGCUAACUACGUA
RNAcentral lists this ribosomal RNA (498 nucleotides) under uncultured bacterium. Its description in RNAcentral is "partial 16S ribosomal RNA". It matches the Rfam family "Bacterial small subunit ribosomal RNA", at positions 28 to 507 of the family's 1533-position model. The record is from RNAcentral.